Molecule: long non-coding RNA, 2670 nt
Organism: Amphiprion ocellaris (clown anemonefish)
Lineage: Eukaryota; Metazoa; Chordata; Actinopteri; Pomacentridae
Exons: 3
Source: RefSeq, a predicted model, not a curated record
UCAACUAAAUAACCGUCCGAAUUUAAUAACAACUGCCUUCUAGUUAACUGAACAAUAAGAAAAUGAGCUGAUUCAAAAAUUGUUUUGAUUGUGUUCUUUUAAUUAAGUUGAGAUAAUCAUGACAGAUAUUUCUUUUUUGGCAAUAUAUCCAAUUUUAUAUGGAAAAUAACAAAUUGGUCCGUGAACGGAUCUGGUAAUUGGAUUUUCCGUUCUGAAACGGGUAUUGAAAAACAGAAAACGAGUGGUUAUUUGAUUUUCGUUUUAAAAUACAAAAAUUGAAAUUGAAAUACAAGGCGUUUUUCCUUUUCAUGAUCAAAAAGGGAUAUACGAUUUUUUUUAAAAUGCUUUGAUUUUCGUUUUAUAUUUAGAAUAACAAGAAAGUAAAAUCUGUAAGAGAGAAACGAAAAAAGGUCAGUUUUUUCAUUUUCUGAGACCGGAAGUGGUCAUCAGCAAGAGUGGAGCCAAACGACAACAAGAUUCUCAGAGGGCGGAGCCAGAGAGCAGCGAUUGGUCAGACCACAGAUAAUAUAGAAGACAGCGCGCUAGCGUAUCUAGUAUUCUAUGUAUCUAUGGUCGGCACGUCUGGUAGCGUCUCUGGCUGCUGUUGAUCUUGUUUUUGGAGUAAAACACGGUGGAAGCUGAAUUAGUGAGGAUGACUCCUGCUCCUGUCAUCUCUAAACUCCUCACACAUCUUUACCUGCACAUGAGGAAAAUCACUCCUGUAGAAUGCAGAUGUUCAGAGGGAGAUGAUGCCACAUCUGGUCCAGCUGAUGGAAGGUCUUGAAGUUCUCUGACUGGCCUCGACUGAAGAUGGUCGUCUCACUGGAUUUAAGGUUCAGAUGCUCAGUAACAAACUCCACCAAUGUGCCAACAGGGAAGCUUUAGGUUUAUUAAAUGUUGCUAUGAAGGUUUCGCUGUUUUUCUUUGUGAAUGCAAUGUGCUCCAACUGAAACUUGAAUUAGAACUUAGAAGUAAAUCCUUCCAUCUGAAAGGAUUUAGUUGCAUUAAUAACCUCAUAACAUUCUAAUUUUUAUUCCAGUCUUGGUUGAAAAUAGAAUCUCUAUUGAUUCAGGUAAAGACUGAACUUCACAGCAUGUUGAAGCAAAACAACCAGAUGAAAACUGUGAUGGUGUUGGAUUGUCAGACCGUAAUGUUGCAGCUCAAAGCAGCUUUUCUAUCUCAGUUCAUUCUAACAUUCAGCUAUGAAUCAACACAGCAGAUGGUGAUCCAUGCUGUGGAAGUCUCACAUCUCCUGAUUUAAUGGAGCUGCUUUGCACUUUUUACACUGUUUAUUCACCAACACUUUAUUUAAUAAAAGUCCCAUCUAGUUUUCAUGAGGAAUGUGAUGUUUUAAUUUCUCUGUGAAUAACUGCAGUCUAAUGUAACAGCUGGAGUUGUAACAUCUGUCCUGAUAUUGAUCAUGAAGUAUUGAUCAGAAUACUUAUGGUCAGCAGUCAUCCCUGAAGUUUUACAUUAAAAUCUUUACUUGUGUUGUGAAUUUUGGUAAGAAGCAGAAACGUUAGCGUUGCCAUGGAUACAUGAGUGUUAAAUUCUGUUCAUGUUUCCAUUUUGGGGAAAUGCAGUCCAGUUCCAGAAUGUGGAGGAAUUUAGUCUCACAAUCACAGACAAAUAUUAUCUGAAACUCAGGUUAUUGUUGUUUAUCAGCACAAUACAAAAAGAUUAAUGUUAGAAAUAUUCCAGUUAAGACUCUAGAAUAUCAUGAUUUAUGUAAAUUUACCUCAAUAAUAUUAAUGUCCAGGUUAAGAUUGUACAGUGAUAUUUAUUAUGUAAGUUUAGCUGAUUAAAGUUUAUGACUCUGCACUAAAAUAUUAUUUAAAUUGACAUCAUUAUUAUAAUAUUUAGGGUCAGACCCUACAGUAUUGAGAUUAAGAAAUCAAAUAUUCUAUAAAAUGUAAAUACACUGAACUCAUUUGGAUAUAUUUCAGUGAGACUCUACAAUAUUAUUUGACACAAAUCUAUCUAAAUCAAAAUUUUUAUAAUUUUCAAGCCAAACAUUUACUGGACUGAUUUAAAUAUUAAAAUCACUCCUUUCUAAUCCUCUGCUGUACGUUCAAACCUGAGGCCUUAAAUAGAAACACACAAGUAUCUGUUUGAAGGAACUUCUGCAGAGUCCUGGUUCCAAAACAUGAUGAUAGAAUUAUAGACAAACUUUAACAAAAGCUGCCUGAGAGUUUACAGGUUUUUAUGUUAGAUUUCUUCAGUAAUUUAAUGAGCAUUAUCAGCAAAAAUCAAGUGUUCAUUUGAUGAACUUCAUUUCCUAAAACAUCCAGAGUUGGAGCUCAUAUCUUUGGCAGCUGUAAAGUUUCUGCUUCUUCAAAGUUCACAACACAAUGAAUUAAUUCCUAAAACACUCUCAAUGCUGGAGAGCGUUUGAUGCUGAAGCAGUGAUCAGUUUUUCUGUUUCUUCUCUGGAGAUGCACAAUGAGGGACGUCUGCAGAGACUGAGAAAGAGUCUCACCACAUCCUGACAUGAGGAAAAAGACUUUAUUGAAGACUACAAUGAGAAAAACUAUCAGACAGCAGACGGCUGCAUUCAAGGUGAGCUCUGAACAUUUGAUCUGGAACAGGAAUUCAAUAACGGCAGCAUGAGCUUCAUUUCAGUCUGUAGCUGCUGAAUUCAUGGAUGAAUCAUCUGGCACUAGAGAAGAA